This 584-nucleotide ribosomal RNA is filed under the name Rhizobiales bacterium E109. RNAcentral's name for it is "bacterial SSU rRNA". It matches the Rfam family "Bacterial small subunit ribosomal RNA", at positions 33 to 661 of the family's 1533-position model. Lineage: Bacteria; Pseudomonadati; Pseudomonadota; Alphaproteobacteria; Hyphomicrobiales. The record is from RNAcentral.
ACGAACCUGUCUCGGCUUACACAUGCAAGUCGAGCGGGCGUAGCAAUACGUCAGCGGCAGACGGGUGAGUAACGCGUGGGAACGUACCUUUUGGUUCGGAACAACACAGGGAAACUUGUGCUAAUACCGGAUAAGCCCUUACGGGGAAAGAUUUAUCGCCGAAAGAUCGGCCCGCGUCUGAUUAGCUAGUUGGUAGGGUAAUGGCCUACCAAGGCGACGAUCAGUAGCUGGUCUGAGAGGAUGAUCAGCCACAUUGGGACUGAGACACGGCCCAAACUCCUACGGGAGGCAGCAGUGGGGAAUAUUGGACAAUGGGGGCAACCCUGAUCCAGCCAUGCCGCGUGAGUGAUGAAGGCCCUAGGGUUGUAAAGCUCUUUUGUGCGGGAAGAUAAUGACGGUACCGCAAGAAUAAGCCCCGGCUAACUUCGUGCCAGCAGCCGCGGUAAUACGAAGGGGGCUAGCGUUGCUCGGAAUCACUGGGCGUAAAGGGUGCGUAGGCGGGUUUUUAAGUCAGGGGUGAAAUCCUGGAGCUCAACUCCAGAACUGCCUUUGAUACUGAAGAUCUUGAGUUCGGGAGAGGUGAG